RNAcentral lists this ribosomal RNA (497 nucleotides) under uncultured bacterium. RNAcentral describes it as "partial 16S ribosomal RNA". It matches the Rfam family "Bacterial small subunit ribosomal RNA", at positions 28 to 507 of the family's 1533-position model. The record is from RNAcentral.
GAUGAACGCUGGCGGCGUGCCUAAUACAUGCAAGUCGAGCGAACGGACGAGAAGCUUGCUUCUCUGAUGUUAGCGGCGGACGGGUGAGUAACACGUGGAUAACCUACCUAUAAGACUGGGAUAACUUCGGGAAACCGGAGCUAAUACCGGAUAAUAUUUUGAACCGCAUGGUUCAAAAGUGAAAGACGGUCUUGCUGUCACUUAUAGAUGGAUCCGCGCUGCAUUAGCUAGUUGGUAAGGUAACGGCUUACCAAGGCAACGAUGCAUAGCCGACCUGAGAGGGUGAUCGGCCACACUGGAACUGAGCCACGGUCAAGACUCCUACGGGAGGCAGCAGUAGGGAAUCUUCCGCAAUGGGCGAAAGCCUGACGGAGCAACGCCGCGUGAGUGAUGAAGGUCUUCGGAUCGUAAAACUCUGUUAUUAGGGAAGAACAUAUGUGUAAGUAACUGUGCACAUCUUGACGGUACCUAAUCAGAAAGCCACGGCUAACUACGUG